This is a non-coding RNA of Acanthosepion pharaonis, 109 nucleotides long. Lineage: Eukaryota; Metazoa; Mollusca; Cephalopoda; Sepiida; Sepiidae. The record is from the annotation of a GenBank genome assembly.
CAACCAUAUUGCGUUGAUACACCGGUUAUCCCACGAUCACCGAAGUUAAGCAACGUCGAGUCUGGUCAGUACAUAGAUGGGUGACCGCUUCAGAACGCCAGGGGUUGUU